AGCGAACGCUGGCGGCAGGCUUAACACAUGCAAGUCGAGCGGGCACUUCGGUGUCAGCGGCAGACGGGUGAGUAACACGUGGGAACGUACCCUUUGGUUCGGAAUAACGCUGGGAAACUAGCGCUAAUACCGGAUACGCCCUUUUGGGGAAAGGCUUGCUGCCGAAGGAUCGGCCCGCGUCUGAUUAGCUAGUUGGUGGGGUAAUGGCCUACCAAGGCGACGAUCAGUAGCUGGUCUGAGAGGAUGAUCAGCCACACUGGGACUGAGACACGGCCCAGACUCCUACGGGAGGCAGCAGUGGGGAAUAUUGGACAAUGGGCGCAAGCCUGAUCCAGCCAUGCCGCGUGAGUGAUGAAGGCCUUAGGGUUGUAAAGCUCCUUUGUCCGGGACGAUAAUGACGGUACCGGAAGAAUAAGCCCCGGCUAACUUCGUG
Molecule: ribosomal RNA, 433 nt
Filed under: uncultured bacterium
Lineage: Bacteria
Description: partial 16S ribosomal RNA
Rfam family: Bacterial small subunit ribosomal RNA
Source: RNAcentral